This is a long non-coding RNA of Mus musculus (house mouse), 3565 nucleotides long. RefSeq annotates it as predicted gene, 38416. The record is from RefSeq and is marked validated. Lineage: Eukaryota; Metazoa; Chordata; Mammalia; Rodentia; Muridae. The transcript is spliced from 8 exons.
GUGUCUGCAACGAGAUCUGGUGCGAUUGGACCUUGACCGCAUCCCUUCCAAGCCCCUGACCAUGUCUGAGUUCUCCUCUGUCCAGAACCAGACCUUGUGGUUAAGAGUCAGUGCAUAAGGUAUGCUGUUGAAAUGACAACCAAAACUGGCAAAAUCCUUGAGAUUAUCUCAGAGGAGAUUCCUGAAGGAAAAGGAGACAGUUAACUACCCCGAGGGCUGAUGAGCUUGGUCUCUUGGGAGAAGAGCUCUAAAGCCAGGAACCAACGUCCUUCUCAGAGCUAUCCUACCUUACAGAUCCCUGGAUUGUCACAGCUGAGGAGAGAUCCAGUAACUGGAGUAGGCAGAGACCAGAGAAAGCACGGUAGAAGCCAAGGGCCCAAGAGGCAGGUCGGAGUCUGGUUUGUGGAGUGUCGAGGUGUCUUGUCUGCAACAGGAGGAAAGAGGAAGCAUUCUUUCAGGCUAUGUUCCAGAUGCAAAAAGCAAUGCCCUGCCAGUGCUUGCUACCACACGGAUGGACGGGCCAUUAAAAACAUGGUCCUCACGCCCUCGUUAGCCAGUUCAAGAGGCAAGACACGGAAAAACUACAGGCUGCAUGAUUUAACUUGUAGAAUUUGCCAGAAUUCCCCCCAGACAAAUCCCCUGAGAAAGAAAGGACAAGUCUGGGGGGCUUGCAGGGAGCGGUGACUUCUGGAAGUGUUCUUGCUGCUGAUUUCCUGUGUCCUAUGACCAACAUAUAUGCUGUCUUCAAGUUCUAGUGGGCAACCAAGAGCAAUGCCUUCAUGAGUCUCAUUCCAACUCGCAAACACCAAAGCCAGGAGGAACAGCAGCAUGCUUGGCUUUGCACCUACAAAUUCUAAAAAGGUUUCAUCUUCCUUCGGGAGACACAGGCAUGAUGCUUUCUGUUGGCCUGGGGCCGCAGCUACCAGAGAAAAGCAGGCUCGAGGUUUGGUUUCCCUCAAUGCAGCAGUAUUUCCUCAGUGUGCAGGAGCAGGAGUUUUUGUUGAGACAGAAAGGACUCCUGAGAUAAAAGAUGCUUUUGAAAUGGUGGCAUCCUUUUACCUGGACCAUAAGAUAAGUCUAGGCCUCCGUCUCAUGGAAUGAUGUCGCCUCCCUUAGGAUGGGUCUUCCCUUCUCAAGUCAUCCUUCCCAGAAAACAUCUUCAUAGAUAAACAGGAUGUGACUCCAAAGCCAGUGAAAUUGAGCCAUCCUGAUGCUAUUGUCUCAAUCGUUGCUAUGUAGGCUGGGGCUCACAGCAUGGAGUGAGGUCAUAGUGUUGAUCAAGUAGCAGAAAUGGAAGCUUACAGAACUUGAACCCACCAUGGUAUAUGCCAGCGAGGGCCGCCGUUAUCUCUGCAGUUUUGAGCACUGGUGAUAUGUCAGAUCACAGCUUACAGUGUCAUUACGUAUGCCAGCAUUCAGUUUUGUCAAGUUUGUCAGGUUGUCAAGGCAGCAGUGACACUGGGCAGUGGUCUCCUAUUCCUGUGAUUUCAUAUAUCCAAAGGUAUUUGGGGGCUAUAGAGAUAGCUCAGUGGGUGAAUUCUUACUGUUCGACAAUGAGGAUCUUAAUUCAAGCCCUUAAGUCCCGUGUGAAAACUCAGACGUGGCUAACCUGCACACACAACCCCAGCACUGUAGGAGGUGGGGACAGAAGGAUCUGCCUGCCUUGCUGGCUGCCACGUUCACCGAGAGACCCUGUCUCAAAGAAUACGGUAGAGAGGGGUAGAACAGAACAUCUAAUGUCUUAAUGUCUUCUGGCUACUGAGUGAGCACACACAUGUAUUUACACUACACUCAAUGCACAUGUUACACACACAUACACAGAGAGGGGGAGGGGAGAGAGAGAGAGAGAGAGAGAGAGAGAGAGAGAGAGAGAGAGAGAGAGAGAAUUUCAUGUCAAAAUGAGGAGGAAAGCUAUAAGCUCUGAAGACCAUCAUUGUAAUAAAGUCAAUGCUGUCUUAGAGAAACCCAGGACAAUGCCCUGAGCAAUAUCUUCAUCUCUCCAGGGGCCAGUGAAAAAUGGAGCCUGUGCCCAGAACUUCCAAGAUGGAGAAGUCACUGUCCCUUUUUUUCAGUGGCCACAACCCAUUGACAUCUCUGCCUGGACAAAUGGCUGCUCCAGCAUGGUGUGGGACACAGAAGGAGCUUCUAAUCUACUUCUCUGUCCCCAUCACAGGAAAAGGCUAGCAAGAUGUCCAGCCCAUCUCCUUCCUCCAUCCUGGGUAGAAUUCUAAUUCUCUCCUCAUGUUCUUGGAAGGAGAGACAGUGGAUAUAAAAUUUAAAAACCACAAGGUGGAGACUAAGAAGCAUCUGAACAUGCAGGCAGAACACGUGUGUGUGUGUGUGUGUGUGUGUGUGUGUGUGUGUGUGUGUGUGUGAGAGUGUGUGAGUAUGAGUGUGUGUGAGUAUGUGUGAGUAUGAGUGUGUGUGAGUGUGAGUGUGUGUGAGUGUGAGUAUGUGUGUGAGAGUGUGAGUGUGUGUGAGCAUGUGUGUGAGAGUGUGAGUGAGUAUGUGUGAGUGUGUGUUGCUGUCCUCUUGUACUUACAUGAAGUGGCAGCAGGUCUUGUUGGACUUCACGUGGCUAAGUCAGAAUAGAACUGGAGGUCUUCAGUCUGGCCUUCCACCAAUAGCUCUGUGCUGACUGGUGACAUUGGUGUAGCACUGCCGCCUUGCUCUCUCACAUACUUGAGCAAGGAGGGACUAUGAUUACACAACCUUCUGCCUACAAUGGGGCCUCAGUAAACCUGCUGAUGGAAAAGGCAGGGGAUUAAAAGCUGAUGAACUGGUGAACAGAAUUGCAGAGCCUUGUCCCACCCCUUCACCGUGGCUUUACUUUUGGGUUAACAGAAGUAUUCAGUGCACAGAGGCGAAGUUCACAUGUGUGGUCUCCACCCAAAGCAGUUGCCAUUCACAUGAAGAGGAUGCAAGUCGGGGUGAUUUUUGCAUUGGAUCUGACUCGCCAGGAAAGAUGAUGUUUCUGAAGUUAGAAGUCAUCUACUGGGGACCGAGCUAGACCCUUACUAAAUGUUUAACCAUCUCUGGAACACGAGUUCCAUCUCCCCGGCAGAAUCAAAGUUGAGUUCAGGUUCCCAGGCCCCAGAACCAACUCCUAGCCCACUCGUUCAGAUGCUUCAUGUUGGUCUGUUAGCCAGUGAAGGCUGUAAAGAGGGGAGAGGCUGUGAUCCAGUCAUCUACGUUAAGGCACACGGCUCGUAUGUGUGCUGCUCAUCUUGACUUAAUUGACUGUGUGUGGCUUGCCCUCUCCUUGUUCCCUUACCAUUCUAAAUUCCAGGGCAGCAUCCAGGAGGGGACCUGAAUGCAAAAGCUGAUUCAGGAACCUGAAACCAGGUGACCUGGAAAAGACCCAGUCACCAAUGUUAACUUCUUUGUUUAAACCCCUUGUGUCAAAAUGUGAUCGGUCAAUGCAACAGCCCACCCUGAUCCCCCUUGCUUUGUGUUUCCAUUCUACUAAAAUGUAGCACAAUUUCCCUUAGGGGGCGCUGUUUUGAUCCCGAACUGAGUGCCUCCCUGAGCGCUCAGAAAAUAAAGCUUUCAUUUUAAAGCUUCC